RNAcentral lists this ribosomal RNA (254 nucleotides) under uncultured bacterium. Its description in RNAcentral is "partial 16S ribosomal RNA". It matches the Rfam family "Bacterial small subunit ribosomal RNA", at positions 524 to 776 of the family's 1533-position model. The record is from RNAcentral.
UACGGGGGGAGCAAGCGUUGUUCGGAUUUACUGGGCGUAAAGGGCGCGUAGGCGGCCACCGCAAGUCGGUUGUGAAAUCUCUGGGCUUAACCCAGAAAGGUCAACCGAUACUGCGGGGCUAGAGUGCAGAAGGGGCAACUGGAAUUCUCGGUGUAGCGGUGAAAUGCGUAGAUAUCGAGAGGAACACCUGCGGCGAAGGCGGGUUGCUGGGCUGACACUGACGCUGAGGAGCGAAAGCGUGGGGAGCGGACAGG